CCCAAAUCAAAAGAUUUGUAAGAAGGAAUGUUAGGAAUUGCUAAGGACAAAAAGAAUAAUUAGCUCAUUAAUAAAAAUUGAACACCUAAGGAGGGCGGUCCCUGUCUCAGCACAGAGAUGUUACUUUAGAGACAUGUCAAUGCAUGCAACACUGCCUCCAGUUAACACUAAAAAUUUUAGCAGCUGUACUCAAGAAAAUGUUUCUGCUGACUCAGCGAGCAGGCACAGAUGCUAGAGUGAAGUCUACCCUGGUGCCUAUUUCACCGCUUUCCCCUUGUGCUUCUACUGUAGAAGAGUUCCUAACCCACUCAGUUCUAACUAUAACUGUGCUAUAGCUUUGCUUGACUCCCUCAAAUGAAGAAGUUAUGUGUUGGCCAUCUAAGCCUCCAUGUAUUAAACAGCGCUGAGAGGUCUGCAGCCUUCAUGCAGGAUCCAGUAGCACUGGGAGAGUUUGAUGGAGGAAAGAGGGGUCUGUUCCCUCUCCAACUACUCUCUCAUCCCUUCUGUGUGAGGUCACAGAAUUAUAUCCUCUGGAGAAAAUGGGGUUCCAGGUAUCAUCUUGGAAGUAGACAGUGCUUUGUCUCUGUUUUCUCCUGACUGUCUAAGGCACAGAUUAAGCUCUGUCUCCAGCCCAGGGAACAAAGACCCGAAUCAUCAAGUCCCUUUACUUGGCUCACAGUUCAGGGAUAGAAACGUUUUAUCCCCAAACAGGAGAAAAAGAAAAAGCAGGAACAGUGACCAUGUCCCUUCCGCAUUCUUCUCCUAAGCAGUUUUCCCAGGCGCUCUCCUUUGUGACAACCUUCUGCCCCUAAGGAACAGCGUGCUGCUACUGGGUCCUGAAAGGCUUCCAGGCAUCCCCUUGUGCUGUGUGUUCCUGCAUAGACUUGCCCCCACCCAGGGACAUCCACCGGUUCUUCUGACUGCUGGCUACAAUUGGGACCAGAUGCGUCCCAGGCCCUGCAGUCCGUCACAGGUUUCUGCAGUCUGCACUCUCCCCUUUGAUCUUGCUUUAUUCUUGCUGCUGCAAAUCCUCAAAUAACUUCCUCAGAAUGGGUACGUGAAGGACCAGUUUUCUUAAUCUUUGAAUGCCUGCAAAACCUUAUUAUUUGCCAACAUGGAACAGUUAUUGGAUUCCUAGCAGUGUUGUUUAAAUGAGCUAGUACAAUCCAAAGACUACAGGAAACACAGUGGCUGGACAAUAACCAAAACAACUUUGAGAAGGAAAGAGCCAAAGAGCUAAUUCUACCCAAGUGAAGCCUGGAUUUAAAGCUAGCUGGUGGGCAAGAAGAGAUAAACUGAUGUCAGAUGAUUAUUUGGAUAUCUGUAACAUUUUUUAAACCUCUGCUUCCAUUUGGAACUUGUGGAUCAGCCCCUGACAAGAAUUUCCAGUGAUAUAGAUACUGUGAGAUUCACCUUGGGGUGAAGCCAUGGCCAGGCCCUGCACCUGACCACCUGGGGACCAUGGCUUAGCCCCACAGUGAGCUACAGAUUGUUAGCCAUCUACUCCUGACUUCAUAGCUCUUAUGGGAGUUUUAGAUUUCUCCACAGUCAGCCAUCAGGGGAGAGUCAUUAACACUUCAUAUCUUCCUAGCCCCUCAGACAAUCCAUGUGCAAAUCCUGAAGUUCAGUUUCUAUUGAAUGUGGGUUCCUUUGGAGUCAUUGCGAAGUGUAAAACACCAUCAGCCAGGACGGUAUAUGUUCCAACCCCCAAGAAGUUCUCUUCUUACAGUCAAGAUGUCCUUAAUACUCAGCAUUGUCACUGGGAGUCCCAGACCGUGCCUCUGUCUGCUUGCCACCACUAAAGCUGCCUAGUCAGACCAUGUCAUCCCCCUUAGAUGCUGGCACCUGCCUCCUCCUGCCAUGUUCCUCCUUCUCAGCAGCUGACAAGUCUUUAGUGAUUGCAGACUACACACUAGAAACCAGCAAUCAGGAUGACAGAGCGCCUCCAUUGAUCGGGAUGACCAAAGCACCUACCCUCAAGCAAGAUGGCCAAGCACGUGUCCUCAAAGCAAGAAGACAACCCCAACCACGCUCAGCAAGAUCAUAUCACCUAUCCUGACUACGACACAAGACUGACAUACAACAUGCAUGACGGCUGCAGCAUUAUGCAGUUGGCGCCAUAGUGAGAUGUCACCUUUCCGAAGCUCUAACAAAUGAGAAUGACCAGAAAGAAAGUGUAUCAACAGAGACCGAUUGACUUGUUAGAACUAUAGUGAGGCCAAGAGGUUGGAAUGUUGAAAGUCCAGGGGCUAAUUACCUUGUGUCAGCCCCCUAAGGAGUCAUUCCUUGCCCACCUUCCUUGUGGAACUAGUGUACGGUGACUCAAGAUCAAAACCUUUGGAAUCUGUUUAUUGAGCAGGCCCCCUGGCUUCCAACAACCCCGAAGCUAAGAAUGUGAUCUGAGAACCUUUGAGGCUUAGAGCAAAGCUUCCCCGACCUUCCCGGAGCUGCCUCUCUGACGGACUCACCAGCGUGUUUUAAACUUGCUUUGAUUGACGACUGCCUCUGUCCUGUAAAACUCCCAAGCUUCAUGCUGCAGCUUCCACAUUGGAACGCGGAGCUUGAGGUGACCUGAAGCUGUAUUCCUGGGCCAUGGUCACUGCACAUGCUUCCAGAAUAAACUAUCCCACAUACUCUUUUGAGGGCGAGCUCUGCUUUUUAUGUCAACGCCUGCCAUGCCCAACUUCACUACAGGCCCAACACUAUUGAAGUUUCCAAAAGGAUGGCCCAAACUAAAACUAAAACCCUCUCUGUGAGUUCACAACCUCCAGCAUUUGCUGGUAACGGCAAGCUGACCAGCACACCUUCCUGAUGUGAGAUCCAUGAAGACAGAGCAGACUUUAGAAGCAUGAUUAAACUCAGGUCCCAGAAGCCAUGCAAUCGUGAAAGCCACGUUUCUCCUUCUCGUGUCCUUCCACAAACCUGUGUGGCAGAGCCCCUAGUCUAGAGAGAUCCAGGAAGCAUUGAGCGCUGCAAUGGUGAAGAGAUGCCUCUGGUUUCCAAGAUGGCUGCUGUGUAACUCACAGGCAACUUGCACCUUCGCUGGGGAUCCACUGGACAAAGGGACGGGCCAUGUCCCAGGUGACUGAGCCACCAAAGGCAAAACCACAGACGGCAGAGGCUACUGUGUGUCUUCCAAGAGACAGCAGUGCGGUGCCGUCCUUUGGCUCCAGACAUUCUUCCAAACACUUAGACAGAACAUCUCAUUUACUCCACAGCACAACCCCAGGCUCUGACUAACAUGAGCUUCUCCUAUUUUACUGCUGAAGGCCCCCCCCCCGCCCCAGGCACAGACCAUGCUCAGGCAGAUGACAGAUUUGGGAGUCUUGCUGAGGACUGGGUUCUGUCUACUCCAAACACCAUCUGAAUGUUUGUGCCUUUUCCUCCCCGCAGUUUCCUGUGUGGGGUUGGCAACUAUCAUCUGCAUUUCGUAGCUAAGGAACCCGUUGUCAACAAAAGUAAAUACACAGGCAAAUAAAUUGCAGGCCAAGCCUUAAUAAGCUGAUGUCUAACUGAACGUGGAAUAUGAAGGACUGGCAAGAGUUAAGGAUGACCUUCGGGUUUCAUUUAGUCCUGUUUCUUUGAAAUAGACUGGAGAAGAUGUUAAAAGAAGUAGCUAGCUCUGUUUUAAACACAUAGAGCUUGCAGAGGCAUUGAAGGUCCAAGUUGGAAAGGCCUGAUGACUCCAUUAUACAAAGUGACAUUUCCGCAUCAUCUACAAGAGAACUGAAGAUGGUGUGUGGACAAUGCACAGGGCAGGGAUUAGGGGGAAAGAAACGGUGAAGGGAGGGGCUGGAGAUGAGUUCAUUUAGAUCCAAUGUUCAUCCACCCAAUCAUUGCUACCCUUAUUCAUGUUUUAGGAAGAGAAACCAUACAAGAAAAUUUAUGUUGCUUUUCCAAAAUUAUGAUAAUUAGUACAGAAAGAAGAAAAGGGAAAGAAAAACAGUGAGAAACACACAGAGAGUGCUAGAUGGAAAGCCUAAAACGUUUCCAUGAGGAGUGAAUUCAGAAUCCAAAACAUGCAGCCCUCUGCACCAAGCCACAGAUGCGUCUAUCUCCAAGAGCAGAUAGCGACUGAGAACUUACUUCAAGAAAGCACUGUGUAUCAUGUCAUCAUUGUCUUUCAGUCUGGGUACCACCCACCUGAGCAUCUCAGGUCAUACGGUUUGCCGAACUUUGGUGUUUUCGAUCAAUCUUCUCUUAUCACUAGGAUUAAAAAUAACUUGGGAUCGAAA
Non-coding RNA from Myodes glareolus (Bank vole), 4235 nucleotides. NCBI's taxonomy places the organism in Eukaryota, Metazoa, Chordata, Mammalia, Rodentia, Cricetidae. The record is from RefSeq and is a predicted model, not a curated record.